CACUACUGUAGCAUUUCGCUCAAACCCGCCCUUCCAUGUGCCGGGACCACUUUGCCUCCUCCUCUCUGGUGGCAUUUAAACUCCCAUUUAAGGAAACAUCAUGUUUUAGGAAUUUAGGUUUGUCCACAGUAGUGUAAAAGUGAUCAGCUACUCUUCCCAGUCUGUGUGUGUGUGUGUAUACGUGUACACACAUACAAAGGUGCUCUGUGAUGUAAAAUGCUUGCAUGGAUGACCUGCUUCCUGUUUUGCUCUGUGAGGUGGGAAAGGAAGACAAGCAAGCAGGUGUGUAAUCAGGAAGGUGAGCAGUGCAAGAAGCCUCUCAGGAAGUGAAGCUGGGGCACUAGCAGGUAGAAGGAGUCAGCCCACUGGGACUAGAGAAUGGCUUCUCUCCAUCUGCUCUCUAAUCCCAGGGACAAGCAUUCUUCCUAGUUUCUUACUUCUGAGCAGCAACACUGCCUUCUUCAGGUCUUCACUUGUCUUUCAGAGCCUUCCAGGCCUCUCCAAAAGAGCCAGGAGAAGGUCUGAUUAAAUCAGUUGUCAUCAUUCAAUGAAGCACAACAUUUCUGCAGAGAACAGUUCACCAAGACGUUCUCAGAGGUGCUGCUAAUCUAUGUGCACAAGGUUGUUACAAGAUAAAUGAUUAUGAGUCUAGAAUAGUAAUACUGCCUUAUACAUGCAUUUUUCUUUAAAUAUUUACAAAGAAUUUUUACAGACAUUUUUCUAAUUAAAUUUGCAUAACACACUCUCUGAAAGCAGAAAAAGUGAAGUAGCUAAAAAAAAAAAAAAAACAGAAAGAAAAACUAGAUAAUGAGGCCAAAUAAAAAUUGCCAAGUAGCAAAAUAAAUUGAUUCUCACCUUGAAUUUUUCAUGGAACCUAUAAGCUAUAGAACCAGUUCUUUUGUCUAAGCACAAUACCAAAGGGAAUAUUUCUUUUGUUGACUCCAAUAUAUAUUGUAAAGAGUUGAGCCAAAAGACAUACAAAUAUUUUAUUUAAACAAUAUGAGACUCAGGAUUUAGUAAGGGUUGCCCAGGUACUUUGGACUAAUUCUCCUACUGAAAACAAAUAGAAAAGCUGGGGAAUUGUAAUAGAACUAAAGACACCAAAAUGCUAUCCAGUCAGUCAAGCAUUGUGUUUCCAAGAUCCAGAAGAAUGAAAAAGGCCCAGAAAGAUAACUAAUCGGUAAAGUCAGAUUUGCCCUAAAUUUGUCAGGUCAUUUUAGGAAGAAUUGGUUGAGAGAAUAAACAGAGAAUUUACAGAUUUAUGGAUACAGGGGACAAAAGUUGGAGUUCAAGGCCCAACAAAGAGAAUAACUAGUAACAUCUCCCUCCAGAUUCUUGUUGGAACCUUGAAAGUCCAACCUGGGAGUAAGAAUUAACCAGACAGAGACGGGCCCUCACUGAAACAGAAACCCAGC
This 1415-nucleotide long non-coding RNA is filed under the name Capra hircus (goat). RNAcentral's name for it is "lncRNA (ENSCHIG00000001615.1)". The record is from RNAcentral. Lineage: Eukaryota; Metazoa; Chordata; Mammalia; Artiodactyla; Bovidae.